This 303-nucleotide long non-coding RNA is filed under the name Brassica napus (rape). RNAcentral's name for it is "long non-coding RNA (BNAP_LNC011881)". Lineage: Eukaryota; Viridiplantae; Streptophyta; Magnoliopsida; Brassicales; Brassicaceae. The record is from RNAcentral.
UCAUAUUGGUUUGAAUCGAGACUGACACUCUAGGUAAGACUGGAGAGUCUUUCAUUGGCUCUAAUUCCACUUGUGACACUCCGAACCAACAUAGCUAAAAUGGUUGGCGAUAUCAGUACACUUGUCUUCUGCCACAAGGACCGAAACAAUAUGUCUUUCAACAAAGUAGAUUCUCAUGACGUCUUUGACAAACUCUCACUAAUAUGAACCGAACAUGCAAAGGGAAAACCUCCGACCCGACAUUCAAAAGUUUCGAAUGAAGAAUGAAGAGUGCCCUGCCCCAGCAAGCACCUACUCAAUUCU